AUGAACUACAUAGGACCUCUCCUAAUCUAUCAAGAUCGAUAGAUCCCAUCUUAGUGUACAUCCUAUUCCUACAAUGAACCUACUGUAGCCAACAUACAUCUUAAGAUUUUAAAUAGCUAGAUAAUCAAGUAUUGGUGCAGUCAAACUACAGCAAUCCCACUGUGAACAGUCGAGGUACUGUAGGUCAAAGAACUAUCCACACAACUACAACUUUGAGUA
Molecule: long non-coding RNA, 219 nt
Filed under: Elaeis guineensis (African oil palm)
Lineage: Eukaryota; Viridiplantae; Streptophyta; Magnoliopsida; Arecales; Arecaceae
Description: long non-coding RNA (EGUI_LNC001759)
Source: RNAcentral